This 431-nucleotide ribosomal RNA is filed under the name Coxiella endosymbiont of Rhipicephalus turanicus. RNAcentral describes it as "bacterial SSU rRNA". It matches the Rfam family "Bacterial small subunit ribosomal RNA", at positions 370 to 791 of the family's 1533-position model. Lineage: Bacteria; Pseudomonadati; Pseudomonadota; Gammaproteobacteria; Legionellales; Coxiellaceae. The record is from RNAcentral.
AAUGGGGGAAACCCUGAUCCAGCAAUGCCGCGUGUGUGAAGAAGGCCUUCGGGUUGUAAAGCACUUUCAGUGGGGAAGAAAUUCUCAAGGCUAAUACCCUUUUGAGCGUUGACGUUACCCACAGAAGAAGCACUGGCUAACUCUGUGCCAGCAGCCGCGGUAAUACAGAGAGUGCAAGCGUUAAUCGGAAUCACUGGGCGUAAAGCGCGCGUAGGUGGAUAUUUAAGUCGGAUGUGGAAGCCCUAGGCUUAACCUGGGAAUUACAUCCGAUACUAGGUAUCUCGAGUAUGAUAGAGGGAAGUGGAAUUUCCGGUGUAGCGGUGAAAUGCGUAGAUAUCGGAAAGAACAUCAGUGGCGAAGGCGGCUUCCUGGAGCAAUACUGACACUGAGGCGCGAAAGCGUGGGGAGCAAACAGGAUUAGAGACCCUGGU